RNAcentral lists this unclassified non-coding RNA (259 nucleotides) under Hevea brasiliensis (rubber tree). The record is from RNAcentral. Lineage: Eukaryota; Viridiplantae; Streptophyta; Magnoliopsida; Malpighiales; Euphorbiaceae.
GCCCAUAUGCUCCUCGCCAAUCUCGAAAGCGUGACCGGCCGUGCAUGGGCCACCGCCGACAUGGGUCCGUGGUUGCAGCCCUACGACGCGGAGCCCGAUCCCGCGCUGGCGACACGGUUUCACGCACUGGCGCGAUUGCCGGAGAACACCUUCGGCCACGCCUUCGCGAUGUUCUAUCAGGCCAACGGCUAUGCCUAUCCCGGCGAGCCGACCGCGCUCAAUUUCGAGCUCGCAGUGCCGCACGAUUCCACGCACGUGC